Molecule: unclassified non-coding RNA, 348 nt
Filed under: soil metagenome
Description: partial contains 5.8S ribosomal RNA, internal transcribed spacer 2, and large subunit ribosomal RNA
Rfam family: 5.8S ribosomal RNA (bases 1-120)
Source: RNAcentral
GAUGAAGAACGUAGCAAAAUGCGAUAAGUAAUGUGAAUUGCAGAAUUCAGUGAAUCAUCGAAUCUUUGAACGCACAUUGCGCCCGCUGGUAUUCCGGCGGGCAUGCCUGUUCGAGCGUCAUUUCAACCCUCAAGCCCCCGGGUUUGGUGUUGGGGAUCGGCUCUGCCCUUCUGGGCGGUGCCGCCCCCGAAAUACAUUGGCGGUCUCGCUGCAGCCUCCAUUGCGUAGUAGCUAACACCUCGCAACUGGAACGCGGCGCGGCCAUGCCGUAAAACCCCAACUUCUGAAUGUUGACCUCGGAUCAGGUAGGAAUACCCGCUGAACUUAAGCUUAUCAAUAAGCGGAGGA